UACGGGGGGGGCAAGCGUUGUUCGGAAUUACUGGGCGUAAAGGGUUCGUAGGUGGCUUGCUAAGUCAGACGUGAAAUCCCUCAGCUUAACUGGGGAACUGCGUCUGAGACUGGUGAGCUUGAGUGCAGGAGAGGAACGCGGAAUUCCAGGUGUAGCGGUGAAAUGCGUAGAUAUCAAGAGGAACACCUGAGGUGAAGACGGGUUGCUGGGCUGACACUGACGCUGAGGCGCGAAAGCCAGGGGAGCAAACGGG
RNAcentral lists this ribosomal RNA (253 nucleotides) under uncultured bacterium. RNAcentral's name for it is "partial 16S ribosomal RNA". It matches the Rfam family "Bacterial small subunit ribosomal RNA", at positions 524 to 776 of the family's 1533-position model. The record is from RNAcentral.